RNAcentral lists this ribosomal RNA (270 nucleotides) under uncultured archaeon. RNAcentral's name for it is "partial 16S ribosomal RNA". It matches the Rfam family "Archaeal small subunit ribosomal RNA", at positions 477 to 747 of the family's 1478-position model. The record is from RNAcentral.
CAGCACCUCAAGUGGUCAGGAUGAUUAUUGGGCCUAAAGCAUCCGUAGCCGGCUCUGUAAGUUUUCGAUUAAAUCUGUACGCUCAACGUACAGGCUGCCGGGAAUACUGCAGAGCUAGGGAGUGGGAGAGGUAGACGGUACUCGGUAGGAAGGGGUAAAAUCCUUUGAUCUAUUGAUGACCACCUGUGGCGAAGGCGGUCUACCAGAACACGUCCGACGGUGAGGGAUGAAAGCUGGGGGAGCAAACCGGAUUAGAUACCCGAGUAGUCC